ACUAACGCUGACGGUAUGCCUUAUACAUGCAAGUCGAACGGAAAGGUCUCUUCGGAGAUACUCGAGUGGCGGACGGGUGAGUAACACGUAGGAAUCUGCCCCAGAGCGGGGGAUAACCAGGAGAAAUCUUGGCUAAUACCCCAUAAGUCGAAAGAUUAAAGAAGUAAUUCACCCUGGGAGGAGCCUGCGUCUGAUUAGCUAGUUGGUGAGGUAAAAGCUCACCAAGGCGACGAUCAGUAGCUGGUUAGAGAUGACGGCCAGCCACAAUGGGACUGAGAUACGGCCCAUACUCCUACGGGAGGCAGCAGUAGGGAAUUUUGCGCAAUGGACGAAAGUCUGACGCAGCAAUACCGUGUGUGGGAAGACGCCCCGUGGGGUGUAAACCACUGUCGGGAGGGACGAAUUAAUGACGGUACCUCCAAAGGAAGCACCGGCUAACUCUGU
This 444-nucleotide ribosomal RNA is filed under the name uncultured bacterium. RNAcentral describes it as "bacterial SSU rRNA". It matches the Rfam family "Bacterial small subunit ribosomal RNA", at positions 29 to 506 of the family's 1533-position model. The record is from RNAcentral.